RNAcentral lists this unclassified non-coding RNA (326 nucleotides) under Hevea brasiliensis (rubber tree). The record is from RNAcentral. Lineage: Eukaryota; Viridiplantae; Streptophyta; Magnoliopsida; Malpighiales; Euphorbiaceae.
AAGCCAGCAAGAGCGGGACCACAAGCCAUUCCGAGAGCACUGGCACUAACAAAACCAGCUGAUGCCUGCAUGCGAAUUCUAAGUGGCACACAAUCACUGAUGUAUCGCCGGUUAACAGCUCUAGCAGAACCAAAUCCACAGAAUAAACGGCCGACUAAAAGAAGUGUUAUUGACUUAUAAUCAAGUGCCAUUGCAUACAUGGAAUUUCCCACAAGAAGAACAAUACUGCUGAAUACUAGAGGUCUAAAGUACGAUUUAUUUGACCAAGCACUGAAAUACACUGAAGAAAACACCUGCGCAACAGCCAUUGCCCCAAUCACAACACC